This 373-nucleotide ribosomal RNA is filed under the name uncultured eukaryote. RNAcentral's name for it is "partial 18S ribosomal RNA". It matches the Rfam family "Eukaryotic small subunit ribosomal RNA", at positions 592 to 976 of the family's 1831-position model. The record is from RNAcentral.
CAAUAGCGUAUAUUAAAGUUGUUGCAGUUAAAAAGCUCGUAGUUGAAUUUUUGCUUGCCGCCAAUGUCGGAACUUCCGUACGUUCGGCGGCGUGCAUCCUUGGGUGGAACCUGUGUGGCAUUAGGUUGUCGUGCAGGGGAUGCUCAUCGUUUACUGUGAAAAAAUUAGAGUGUUCAAAGCAGGCUUAUGCCGUUGAAUAUAUUAGCAUGGAAUAAUAAGAUAGGACCUUGGUACUAUUUUGUUGGUUUGCGCACCGAGGUAAUGAUUAACAGGGACAGUUGGGGGUAUUCGUAUUCCAUUGUCAGAGGUGAAAUUCUUGGAUUUCUGGAAGACGAACUACUGCGAAAGCAUUUACCAAGGAUGUUUUCAUUAA